This 501-nucleotide ribosomal RNA is filed under the name uncultured bacterium. Its description in RNAcentral is "partial 16S ribosomal RNA". It matches the Rfam family "Bacterial small subunit ribosomal RNA", at positions 30 to 523 of the family's 1533-position model. The record is from RNAcentral.
AUUGAACGCUGGCGGCAGGCUUAACACAUGCAAGUCGAGCGGGGGAAGGUAGCUUGCUACCGGACCUAGCGGCGGACGGGUGAGUAAUGCUUAGGAAUCUGCCUAUUAGUGGGGGACAACAUCGCGAUAGGGAUGCUAAUACCGCAUACGUCCUACGGGAGAAAGCAGGGGAUCUUCGGACCUUGCGCUAAUAGAUGAGCCUAAGUCGGAUUAGCUAGUUGGUGGGUUAAAGGCCUACCAAGGCGACGAUCUGUAGCGGGUCUGAGAGGAUGAUCCGCCACACUGGGACUGAGACACGGCCCAGACUCCUACGGGAGGCAGCAGUGGGGAAUAUUGGACAAUGGGGGGAACCCUGAUCCAGCCAUGCCGCGUGUGUGAAGAAGGCCUUAUGGUUGUAAAGCACUUUAAGCGAGGAGGAGGCUACUUUAGUUAAUACCUAGAGAUAGUGGACGUUACUCGCAGAAUAAGCACCGGCUAACUCUGUGCCAGCCGCCGCCGUAA